This is a long non-coding RNA of Lolium rigidum, 543 nucleotides long. RefSeq lists it as uncharacterized. Lineage: Eukaryota; Viridiplantae; Streptophyta; Magnoliopsida; Poales; Poaceae. The record is from RefSeq and is a predicted model, not a curated record. The transcript has 3 exons.
UUGUAAAAAACCCCCAUCAAGAUGCACAUAUUAUUUUUUAGUGCAUAUUCUUCCUUUUCUGUUCUAUUAAUUGAAUAGUCAUAAGAAGCAAUUAGGUCAAAAUGAACUAGGUCUAAGUGAGGCGGUGUAUGUUCUGAAAUUUUCUUUCCUUUCAUGCUGAUUUCAGAAGUUGUUUCUGAUUUGGGCACAAUAAUUCAAGGAAGGACCAGAAGAGAUAAAAACUAUAUAGGUGAUGAGCGCAACAUAUUGAAUUAUGUCCGUCAUUUGAUGCCUCUGGACUAGCAGCGUAUGCUACUCCUUUUGGAUGUAGGAGGUGAUUUAGAACGAAAAGUAUUGGAGCUAGAAGAAGUGGAGUCAAGAGGUUCGAUAGUUAUUUUUUGUGUUGUUCUGGAUGGUGUUGAAUGUAAAGUCGGAUGUAGACUUGGUUUUUCAUGAUGACUUCAGAAUCUCGCUGAUGUUACCGAUAGCUCAAAGUAACUUAAUCUUAUGUUCAAAAUGUUACUACUAUGGUUUAUAAUUUGUACACUAUAUGAACAUUGUGCA